Molecule: ribosomal RNA, 1964 nt
Filed under: human gut metagenome
Description: bacterial LSU rRNA
Rfam family: Bacterial large subunit ribosomal RNA
Source: RNAcentral
AUAAGAUAUCAAGGGCAACAGGUGAAUGCCUUGGCGCUGAGAGGCGAUGAAAGACGCGGUAAGCUGCGAUAAGCAUCGGGGAGGAGCUAAACAUCCUACGAUCCGAUGAUUUCUGAAUGGGGAAACCCGAUGGGAGUCAUGUCCCGUCAUCCUGAGCUGAAUAUAUAGGCCCAGAGAAGCCAACCCGGGGAAGGGAAACAUCUCAGUACCCGGAGGAAGAGAAAUCAAACGAGACUCCCAAAGUAGCGGCGAGCGAAAUGGGAAGAGCCCAAACCGGGUGGUUUCGACCAUUCGGGGUUGUAGGGCCGGCAUACGCGAUUCUGGAGUAGGCAGAGGAAGUGAGCUGGAAAGCUCCGCCACAGCGGGUGAUAGCCCCGUACUCGAAACCGAAAAGGACGCAGCCGGUACCUGAGUACUGCGAGGCACGUGGAACCUCGUGGGAAUCUAGGGGGACCAGCGACCGAUAGUGAACUAGUACCGUGAGGGAAAGGUGAAAAGAACCCCUGUUAGGGGAGUGAAAUAGAAUCUGAAACCUGUUGCCUACAAGCUGCGAGAGCUGCUUCGGCAGUGAUCGCGUGCCUUUUGUAUAAUGAGUCAGCGAGUUACUCUACCGUGCGAGGUUAAGCGAAAGCGUAGCCGUAGUGAAAGCGAGGCUUAAUAGGCCGACUAGUACGUUGGAGUAGACCCGAAACCGGGUGAUCUAUCCAUGAGCAGGUUGAAGCAAGGGUAAAGCCUUGUGGAGGACCGAACCGUCAACGGCUGAAAACGUUCCGGAUGACUUGUGGAUAGGGGUGAAAGGUCAAUCAAACCCGGUGAUAGCUGGUUCUCCCCGAAAUAUAUUGAGGUAUAGCCUCGGGAAUUGAUUAGCGGAGGUAAAGCACUGACAGAGCUAGGGGUCCUACCAGAUUACCAAACUCUAUCAAACUCAGAAUGCCGCUUAAUCGUAUCCCGGGAGUCAGACGGCGGGUGCGAAGGUUCGUCGUCAAAAGGGAAACAGCCCAGACCAACAGCUAAGGUCUCCAAAUCCAUGCUCAGUGGUGAAGGUAGUGGAACCGUUUAGACAGCCAGGACGUUGGCUUAGAAGCAGCCAUCGUUUAAAGAAAGCGUAAUAGCUCACUGGUCUAAUGGCUCUGCGCCGAAAAUGUAACGGGGCUAAGCAUGGUACCGAAGCUUUGGCAAUCCCCUUUGGGGAUUGGGUAGGGGAGCGUUCGCUGCGGGCUGAAGGUGUGUCGGAAGGCAUGCUGGACUGCAGUGAAGUGAUUAUGCUGACAUGAGUAACGAUAAAAUAUGUGAAAAACAUAUUCGCCGAAAACCCGAGGUUUCCUGGGUAAAGGUAAUCUUCCCAGGGUUAGUCGGAUCCUAAGGUGAGGGUGAAAGCCGUAACCGAUGGAAAACAGGUUAAUAUUCCUGUACUUGUUGUGUAGCGCGAUGGAGGGACGCAGGAAGAUAGGCGGGCCGGGUGUUGGAUAUCCCGGUGCAAGCGUGUAGGAAUAUCCGGUAGGCAAAUCCGCCGGACGAAUCUGAGACGCGAGUCCGUGGGCGCAAGCCCUGAAGCCGUUGAGUCUAUGCUGCCUAGAAAAGCUCCUAAGUUUAUCCACAGCAAUCCGUACCGCAAACCAACUCAGGUGGGUGGGAUGAACAAUCCAAGGCGCUCGAGAGAACUCUGGCCAAGGAACUCGGCAAAAUGACCCCGUAACUUCGGAAGAAGGGGUGCUCUCUAGGGUGACAUGUUUAACAUAUGAAGCCCCGGGGAGCCGCAGUGAAUUGGUGGUGGCGACUGUUUACUAAAAACAUAGGUCUGUGCGAAGUCCUAAAGACGACGUAUACGGACUGACGCCUGCCCGGUGCUGGAAGGUUAAAAGGAGGGGUCAGCGCAAGCAAAGCUCCGAAUUGAAGCCCCAGUAAACGGCGGCCGUAACUAUAACGGUCCUAAGGUAGCGAAAUUCCUUGUCGGGUAAGUUCCG